AUUAUAGUAGUUUAUUUAGAAUUGUAAUUUGUGAUAUUACAGGAAGAUUAUAUCUCUUUAAUC
RNAcentral lists this transfer RNA (63 nucleotides) under Cyclopelta parva. RNAcentral describes it as "tRNA-His". The record is from RNAcentral. RNAcentral also lists the same sequence under 1 other name. Lineage: Eukaryota; Metazoa; Arthropoda; Insecta; Hemiptera; Dinidoridae.